AACGAACGCUGGUGGCAUGCCUAACACAUGCAAGUCGAACGAGACCUUCGGGUCUAGUGGCGCACGGGUGCGUAACGCGUGGGAACCUGCCCUUAGGUUCGGAAUACCUCCCCGAAGGGGGUGCUAAUACCGGAUAAUGUCUUCGGACCAAAGAUCUAUCGCCAUUGGCUGGGCCCGCGUUGGAUUAGCCAGUUGGUAGGGUAAAAGCAUACCAAGGCGACGAUCCAUAGCUGGUCUGAGAGGAUGAUCAGCCACACUGGGACUGCGACACGGCCCAGACUCCUACGGAAGGCAGCAGUGUGGAAUAUUGGACGAUGGGCGAAAGCCUGAUCCAGCAAUGCCGCGUAAGUGAUGAAGGCCUUAGGGUUGUAAAGCUCUUUUACCCGGGAUGAUAAUGACAGUACCGGGAGAAUAAGCACCGGCUAACUCCGUG
This 433-nucleotide ribosomal RNA is filed under the name uncultured bacterium. RNAcentral's name for it is "partial 16S ribosomal RNA". It matches the Rfam family "Bacterial small subunit ribosomal RNA", at positions 29 to 507 of the family's 1533-position model. The record is from RNAcentral.